GCCGGUGUAGCUCAGUGGAAGAGCAACUGAUUCGUAAUCAGUAGGUCGGAGGUUCAAAUCCUCUCAUCGGC
RNAcentral lists this transfer RNA (71 nucleotides) under Candidatus Poribacteria bacterium. RNAcentral's name for it is "tRNA-Thr". It matches the Rfam family "tRNA". From Rfam's summary of the family: Transfer RNA (tRNA) molecules are approximately 80 nucleotides in length. Their secondary structure includes four short double-helical elements and three loops (D, anti-codon, and T loops). Lineage: Bacteria; Candidatus Poribacteria. The record is from RNAcentral.